CCUCAGGGGACGCAGAGUGCAGAUGCUUCUCGUGAAGCGGGAGACCCUUGAUUGGUGUCUCCGGCGCCCUGUCGUCAAGAUCGUCAUGCAGUUCUUCGAUGCGAUUUGUGCAUUUUUCCAUGAAGUCUAUGAUCCCAUCUGUUCGAGUAAGGUUAACUGGCUGUAUCCGGGCUGCUCUCUUCCACGGGUUUUGUGACCCGGCGUGCACUGAUGUCACCUUGUCACUCUUAACCUGGUUGAGUUCCGACGCCCGGUGAGCGUGGGACUCCCGCGCAGAUUCAGAUAUCUGCCACUCUGUCACUGAUGCUGCUUUGCCAGCAGCCACUUUUGGCAAAUAAUUGUUUUUGAUCCACUGCUGUGUUGGUGGUUUGUUCAUUUCGUCGCCCUCCAUUUUUCUUUAGCGCAUCUGUAGCCUGGAGCAGCCACCCUUUCACAUGCCCGUAUUUCUGUGUUGGUUGAGGGCAACGUGAGCAGCGUCCUUUGUUGACAAGAGGUCAGCGUGCUUUACCCCAGGCACAAACUCGAGGUUAUCAGCUGUUCAGGAUUACUUGCUACAUGCUUCAAAAGCGUAAAUGUGUAACGACAUCGUCGUCAGACUAGACAUGCAGUUUUUUGAUUCCCCAACCUCAUCAUGACCUUGCGCUUGCUGUUGCGUUGCGCAUUGGCCCACUUGAUGCAGCCCCAACCUCUGUUUCAAAAGAUUACGACUUUGUCUGUGUAAGCAUAUCCGCGAAGUUACAAAACUGAUCGUUUACCAGUUGCAGGAAUCGAGAAUUGAAGAAAGGACCGACUAAGUCGGUUUCUGCGUGUUCCGCGGUGUCGUUGGCGUACUUCUGCCACGCAAACACACCCUAAGCAGCAGAACAGACAAGCCAAAAACCAUUCCGGACGGACUCAGCCCACCUCAAAAGUGUGUCGUCUUUUCCGUUCUGACUGUAG
RNAcentral lists this long non-coding RNA (939 nucleotides) under Toxoplasma gondii VEG. The record is from RNAcentral. Lineage: Eukaryota; Apicomplexa; Conoidasida; Eucoccidiorida; Sarcocystidae.